AGCCAUGCGAGUCAUUGUAGCAAUACAAGGCGGACGGCUCAGUAACACGUAGUCAACCUAACUCGUGGACGUGGAUAACCUCGGGAAACUGAGAAUAAACCACGAUAGAUCAUAGUGCCUGGAAUGGCUUAUGGUCCAAACAGUUUACUGCCAUGGGAUGGGACUGCGGCCUAUCAGCUUGUUGGUGAGGUAAUGGCCCACCAAGGCGAUUACAGGUACGGGCUCUGAGAGGAGAAGCCCGGAGAUGGGUACUGAGACACGGACCCAGGCCCUAUGGGGCGCAGCAGGCGAGAAACCUUAGCAAUGUGCGAAAGCACGACUGGGUCAGUCCGAGUGAUUCCUGAUAAAGGAGUCUUUUGCUUGUCCUAAAAACACUAGUGAAUAAGGGGUGGGCAAGUUCUGGUGUCAGCCGCCGCGGUAAAACCAGCACCUCAAGUGGUCAGGAGGAUUAUUGGGCCUAAAGCAUCCGUAGCCGGCUAGGUAAGUUUUCUGUUAAAUCCAUGCGCUUAACG
RNAcentral lists this ribosomal RNA (512 nucleotides) under uncultured archaeon. Its description in RNAcentral is "bacterial SSU rRNA". It matches the Rfam family "Archaeal small subunit ribosomal RNA", at positions 47 to 564 of the family's 1478-position model. The record is from RNAcentral.